AUGGCGUCCACACUCAAGCGUGCCUACCUCUCCAUCUAUAACUGGUCCAUCUUCUUUGGACGGGUGCAGGUGCUCUACUACGCGUUGCUGGAUAGUUUACCUGGACGUGAGAGGCUCAAGAAGAACAAGUAUAAACUCCUCCCCCUCUUUUCUAUGGUUUGUGAGUUCUUUCUGUUGCUGCAAGCAUUGACACAAUAUGUCAUGUGCAAGGAGCUCCGCAUCCGACUUUCAGCCAUCCUCUACAGCAAGGAGCUCUGGGCCAAAGGAGCAAGCAGCGCUGCUAGUUCCUUGAGGCCAGAUCGAUGA
RNAcentral lists this ribosomal RNA (306 nucleotides) under Triticum aestivum (bread wheat). Its description in RNAcentral is "partial small subunit ribosomal RNA". Lineage: Eukaryota; Viridiplantae; Streptophyta; Magnoliopsida; Poales; Poaceae. The record is from RNAcentral.